Small nucleolar RNA from Cynocephalus volans (Philippine flying lemur), 129 nucleotides. RefSeq annotates it as small nucleolar RNA SNORA11. The transcript has a single exon. NCBI's taxonomy places the organism in Eukaryota, Metazoa, Chordata, Mammalia, Dermoptera, Cynocephalidae. The record is from RefSeq and is a predicted model, not a curated record.
GGGGUGUGCUCAGAGCAGGGGGCUUGAAGAAUGGUUCCUCUGUUUACAACAUACCCCAAAGGAAUCUGGCAUCAUUGUGACAAGGGGCACAAAACUUGUGGCCUGCCUACAAACAAAUGCCUUACAUGU